RNAcentral lists this ribosomal RNA (253 nucleotides) under uncultured bacterium. RNAcentral describes it as "partial 16S ribosomal RNA". It matches the Rfam family "Bacterial small subunit ribosomal RNA", at positions 524 to 776 of the family's 1533-position model. The record is from RNAcentral.
UACGUAGGGUGCAAGCGUUGUCCGGAAUUAUUGGGCGUAAAGAGCUCGUAGGCGGUCUGUCGCGUCGGCUGUGAAAACUCGGGGCUCAACCCCGAGCCUGCAGUCGAUACGGGCAGACUAGAAUUCGGUAGGGGAGACUGGAAUUCCUGGUGUAGCGGUGAAAUGCGCAGAUAUCAGGAGGAACACCGGUGGCGAAGGCGGGUCUCUGGGCCGAUAUUGACGCUGAGGAGCGAAAGCGUGGGGAGCGAACAGG